GAAGUUGGACUAAUACCUUAUGUAUUCGUUUGAUCUCAUGAGAUUACGAAUAAAGAUUUAUCGGUUAUGGAUGGGGAUGCGUCUGAUUAGCUUGUUGGCGGGGUAACGGCCCACCAAGGCAACGAUCAGUAGGGGUUCUGAGAGGAAGGUCCCCCACAUUGGAACUGAGACACGGUCCAAACUCCUACGGGAGGCAGCAGAA
RNAcentral lists this ribosomal RNA (202 nucleotides) under uncultured Prevotella sp. RNAcentral's name for it is "partial 16S ribosomal RNA". It matches the Rfam family "Bacterial small subunit ribosomal RNA", at positions 154 to 354 of the family's 1533-position model. Lineage: Bacteria; Pseudomonadati; Bacteroidota; Bacteroidia; Bacteroidales; Prevotellaceae. The record is from RNAcentral.